CCAGUUUGGGCGGAUUCAUCCUUCUGCAGAUCGAUGCUCCAAAUGGCCACUUUUGGAUUGGGUCGGCCGGGCUGAACAUGUCGGAGCAUAUUGCGUUUUGCCCUUGACUCAACAUAAUGGACAAAAUAGGGAGGAACGAUCCGAUCUUACCUUAGGAUAGCGGAUGGCAUUGGUAACCGGAUACUGGUCUUGCACUGAUCCGGGCUCACCAUAAACGGAAAACUCCAUAUGGUCAACUUGGCGAUCAU
Molecule: long non-coding RNA, 248 nt
Organism: Daphnia pulicaria
Lineage: Eukaryota; Metazoa; Arthropoda; Branchiopoda; Diplostraca; Daphniidae
Exons: 2
Source: RefSeq, a predicted model, not a curated record